GAGUUUGAUCCUGGCUCAGAGCGAACGCUGGCGGCAGGCCUAACACAUGCAAGUCGAACGGAUCCUUCGGGAUUAGUGGCGGACGGGUGAGUAACACGUGGGAACGUGCCCUUUGGUUCGGAACAACUCAGGGAAACUUGAGCUAAUACCGGAUGUGCCCUUCGGGGAAGAUUUAUCGCCAUUGGAGCGGCCCGCGUCUGAUUAGCUAGUUGGUGAGGUAAAGGCUCACCAAGGCUACGAUCAGUAGCUGGUCUGAGAGGAUGAUCAGCCACAUUGGGACUGAGACACGGCCCAAACUCCUACGGGAGGCAGCAGUGGGGAAUCUUGCGCAAUGGGCGAAAGCCUGACGCAGCCAUGCCGCGUGAAUGAUGAAGGUCUUAGGAUUGUAAAAUUCUUUCACCGGGGACGAUAAUGACGGUACCCGGAGAAGAAGCCCCGGCUAACUUCGUGCCAGCAGCCGCCGCAGUAAC
This 470-nucleotide ribosomal RNA is filed under the name uncultured Alphaproteobacteria bacterium. RNAcentral describes it as "bacterial SSU rRNA". It matches the Rfam family "Bacterial small subunit ribosomal RNA", at positions 9 to 526 of the family's 1533-position model. Lineage: Bacteria; Pseudomonadati; Pseudomonadota; Alphaproteobacteria. The record is from RNAcentral.